ACAAACACAAUGAUUGGGAGUAGUAGAAAUCGUUCAUGGUUCAGAGAGCUGCAGCAAUGGUGAAAUGCAGUCCAUGAGGAUUCCGAAGCUCGCCCAUGAGUGGUGAGGCAGAAAUGGAGUAUGCCUUGACGUUUAGCCUUCGUGAUCGGGCUUCAAGCGGAUUUGAUGAAGAUCGGAUCAAGUAGAGUGGUACCGCGCGGGUAGUUAGCCUGUCGUCUCUUAG
Molecule: non-coding RNA, 223 nt
Filed under: Paenibacillus sp.
Lineage: Bacteria; Bacillati; Bacillota; Bacilli; Caryophanales; Paenibacillaceae
Description: T-box sequence
Rfam family: T-box leader
About the family: Uncharged tRNA acts as the effector for transcription antitermination of genes in the T-box leader family. T-boxes are found upstream of many aminoacyl-tRNA synthetase genes and some amino acid biosynthetic genes usually in Gram-positive bacteria. The anticodon of a specific tRNA base pairs to a specifier sequence within the T-box motif, and the NCCA acceptor tail of the tRNA base pairs to a conserved bulge in the T-box antiterminator hairpin.
Source: RNAcentral